RNAcentral lists this long non-coding RNA (5683 nucleotides) under Nicotiana tabacum (common tobacco). Its description in RNAcentral is "long non-coding RNA (NTAB_LNC001879)". The record is from RNAcentral. Lineage: Eukaryota; Viridiplantae; Streptophyta; Magnoliopsida; Solanales; Solanaceae.
UCAUAUUCUUCGGGAACCUUAGACAAAAACAUACAACAAAACCCUAGAGAGCUGUUUUUGAAAGAAGGAACGACCCACCCCUAUGAUUUUGGAGCACCCAGCAGCCUUCUUCAACCUUAGAACCAAAGCAAGCUGAACCCUAAACCCUAAGAGACCACCAGCCGCCGCCAGCCUUAACGCCCAAGACUCGUCGGAAAAUGAGCACCAGUGCCGCUGGCUACAAAUCAUCCAGCCGCCAGUCAUCUUUUCCAUCUCCAGCUGUCCACCACCGGCCAUCUCGCCGGAAUUCAACCACCUCCAUACACAAACGACCUCCAUCAGCCUCCACCCUAACCCCAAUCUCCAUCAGCGACCACACCCCGCCGAACCCCACCCCAAAAAAUGACCUUAGAGACGAAGAAAAAUAGCAGCAAUUGCUGCUUCUUCAACUCCUCCUCUUACUAACCAGUGGCGAACUCGCCGGAAAAUGCACAGCCAAAUCGCCGGAAAGAAAUGGGUCACGUUGUCAUCCAAGGUUCGUCGGUCCCGGUUCGUUUGUGCAAGGAUUCACGUUCGGGUUUUGUUUUUACUUCUGUUGCUUGCCUUAUUUGAUAUGCAAAGAAAGCAAAUUUCAGUUUGUUCAAUUUGUCGUUGUUUGCGCUUGUUCGAGCUUGAAAUUUCGUCACUGACGUUUUAUUUGUCCGUGCGCUCGAUCAGAAAUUAAGUAUAAGGAAUUUGCUUGCUAAGGUUCACUCUAACCCCUUCUCAGUUGUUUCAAUGCUUGGUUACAUUUUAAUGUUGAAUAUUUUUUGCCCUGCUUGUUUGUUUUAUUUUGCUACUCAUUUGUUCUGUUUUAGAAAAUUUAAUAAUGUUCUCUUUGUUUAAUUUUGUUUCUCUUCGUUGAUUUUGUUCUUCUGUGGUGUUCAUUUGAAAAUUCCAAAUAGUGGAUGCAGGUUAAGUAAUCAGGGUCGUUAAGAGUUUAUAGUGAAUUAAUUUGGGCCUUUUAAUAGUAAUUGGGUUUGGAUUUGUAGAAAUGAAAUCAAAGUGGAUGUUUGGCUGACACCUUAGGCUUUACAUGGAUAUAAUCUUUAACGAGUUUACGUUUUGGAUUAUUGUUAUACCAUGCCAAUUUGUUCAAUAGAGUCAUAGUUUAAAUUAAUAUGUUUGUUUGAUAUUUUCGUUAGAAGCAUGCUUAGGCUGACAAUACUCGGGUAGGCAAGCAUUACGAUUUUGUUAGUUUCAAGGCGAGAGGUCGUUCCCUUAGUUAAAUUUAUCUGGGGAAUGCCCCGAGGGAUUUGUAUAUAUUUUAUUUCAGGAGUAUGCCCCGAAGUGAAUGUAACGAAGGCCGCAUCUACACCGUGGAGGAAGUAUAGUGUAGGUUAGCUUAGGAUUUUAUUUUUUAUUAUUUUUAUUUUUAUUUUUCUUAUAUUAGGUGGGGACGACCUCGAUCCUCUUUUGUAUUUAUUUUUGUUUGUGUGUUUUCACCUCAAUUUGAGUAUUCUUAAAAGCCAACUUGAUCAUAUACGCAACCGUACUAGUUACGAGACUCGGGGAAUGCCUAAUACAUUCUUCCCAAGUCAAAUGAACCUCCUUACCCGAAUCUCUGGUGCAGACUUAGUUUCGGAGUUCAAAGUGUUUUAAAAGGAAAAUUUAUUUCUUAAAAAAUGGUGACCUGGCACACCGAAACCAAUGUCAGGUGGCGACUCUGAGUUAUUUCCUUUUGAACACAAUUUUUAUCACGUUCUAAUUGGAAAACCCUUUUCAAGCUUUACAAAUCACUUUUAUAUUUUUAAGAGGGUUAGUGAGGUUUGUAAAAAAAGGGUGUGACAGAGGAGAAUGAAGAAGGAUAUCGUUACAUAUGUGGCUCGGUGUUUGAAUUGUCAAUAGGUUAAGUAUGAGCAUCAGAGGCCGGGUGGUUUGUUUCAGAGGAUUGAGCUUCCCGAGUGGAAGUGGGAGCGGUUCAUUAUGGAUUUCAUUGUUGGACUCCCACAAACUCGGAGGAAAUUCGACGCAGUGUGGGUCAUUGUUGAUAGGCUGACCAUGUCAGCGGAUUUUAUUCUCGUGACAGUCUCUUAUUCUUCCAAGAGGUUAACUGAGAUCUAUAUCCAGGAGAUUGUUCGCCUUCAUGGUGUGCCCGAGUCUAUCAUUUUGGACUGUGGUACGCAGUUUACCUCACGGUUUUGGAGGGCCGUUCAGCGAGAGUUGGGCACACAAAUUGAGUUGAGCACAAUGUUUCAUCCUCAGACGGACGGGCAGUCCGAGCUGACUAUUCAGAUUUUAGAGGAUAUGCUCUGAGCUUGUGUCAUUGACUUUGGAGGCUCGUGAGAUCAGUUUUUGCCUUUAGCAGAGUUUGCCUACAACAACAUCUACCAGUCGAGUAUUCAGAUGGCUCCUUAUAAGACUUUAUAUCGUAGGUAGUGUCGGUCUCCGGUUGGAUGGUUUGAGCCGGGAGAGGCUCAGUUGUUGGGUAUGGAUCUGGUUCAGGAUGCCUUGGACAAGGUCAGGAUUAUUCCGGAUAGGCUUCGUACAGCUCAGUCCAGGCAAAAGAGCUAUGCCGACCGCAAGGUUUGAAAUUUGACUUUCAUGGACGGUGAGCAUGUAUUGCUUCGAGUGUCGCCUAUGGAGGGCGUGAUGAGAUUUGGGAAGAAGGGCAAGCUUAGCCCUAGGUUCAUUGGCCCUUUUGAGAUUCUUGAUCGAGUGGGAUAGGUGGCUUACAGACUUGCAUUGCCGCCGAGCUUAUCAGCCGUGCAUCCAGUGUUUCAUGUGUCCAUGCUUUGGAAAUAUCACAGCGAUCUAUCCCACGUGUUAGAUUUCAGCACUGUCCAGUUGGACAAGGACUUGUCUUAUGAGAAAGAGCCAAUAGCUAUUCUAGAUCGGCAGGUUCGUCAGUUGAGAUCGAAGAGUUUUUCUUCUACUCAUGUUUAGUGGAGAGACCAGCCUGCUGAGGCAUCGACCUGGGAGUCCGAGUCCGAUAUGCGGAGCCGUUAUCCCCAUCUUUUCCCCGACUUAGGUACUUCCUUCUUAUGUCUGUUCGAGGACGAACGGUUGUUUUAGAGGUGGAGAAUGUGUCGACCCAAAAGGUCAUCACUUAUUUUUAAAAUGAAUUCUUCAUUCUAAGGCCUUAAAAACCUCUUUCAGCAUCACCUCAAUUUGCGUGUGCAGUCCGUACGCGCGUAGUCGGAAAGCUAAUAUGUGAAAAUUUGUGAAAAAUAUUGAGAUUUUGACUUAAAAUGCAUUUAAGUUGACUUCGGUCAACAUUUUGGGUAAACGGACCCGGAGCCAUGAUUUGACGGUCCCGAAGGGUCCGUAAAAAAAUAUGGCACUUUGGCGUAUUUCCGGAAUCGAAUUCCGAGGUCCCAAGCCCGAGAAAUAAUUUUUUUAAAAAAUUAUUUUCUGGAAAAUUCUAUGAGUUUUGGAAAUGAAAUGCAUUUAGAAUUUGUUGGUAUUGGGCCCGUAUUCUAGUUCCGGAGCCCGGUAUAGGUCUUAUAUGUGAAAUAAGAUAAGUCUGUGAAAUUUGGUAAGAAACGGAAGUCGUUUGAGGUGAUUCGAACCCGUAGUUGUGAAAAUUUAUGUUUUGAAAGUUUUGAGAUUUUUUUAGAUUUUCAUACUAAAUUCGUUGUUUAAGAGGUUAUUUUGGCGAUUUGAUCGCACGGAUAAGUUCAUAUGAUGUUUUUGAGUUAGUAUGCAUUAUUGGUUUGGAGCCCUGAGGGCUCGAGUGAGUUUCAGAUAGGUUUCGAGAAGUUUUUGAACUCAUAAAAGUUGCAGGUUUUUCAGUUUCUAGUGUCUGGUGUUGACUAUUAUGCGAUCGCAUAGGGCCUUUCGCGAUCGCAUAGCUCAGUGUUAAGGGAGGAAAUCUGUAACACUAUGUGAUCACUUAGCAUGUUUCGCGAUCGCAUAGAGUGGUAGGUAGGCUGGGGGACUGGGGUAGCUUGUUCUGUGCGAUCACAUUUCCUCAUUCGCGAUCGCGUAGCAUAGGAAGCAGUCCACUAUGUGAUCACAUUCCUUUCUUCGCGAUCGCAUAGACCAAAAUCCGCACAGUUAUUUUUAAGUUCAAAAACAGAAUGUAUUAAGGGAAUUUCACCAUUUUUCACAAACUUCUUCUUCUCCACACCUUUUGGGCGAUUUUUGAAGAGAAACUUCACCAUAGCUUCAUAGGUAUGUAAUCCUAAGCUCGUUUUCUUCCAUUUUUAUCAACACCCAUUAGAUUUCUAGGCCUAAAACAUGAGAUUAAGGGUAGAAAGUUAGGGAUUUGUGUAGAGUUAGGGCUUUAUGAUUAUUUGGGAACUUGACCUCGUUUUGGGGUCAGAUUUCAAAACAAAUUAUAUAUUCGGGCUCGUGGGUGAAUGGGUGAUCAGGUUUUGGUCCGAACCUCGUAUUUUGACCAAGCGAGCCCGUGGUCGAUUUUUGGAUUUUUGGGAAGAAUGUUGGGAAAUCUAUAAUUAAGCAUUGGAAUUGAAUUGUUUAGCAUUUAUUGAUGUUAUUGAGUCAAAUAUGUCUAGAUACGAUUGAUUUGGAGUCGGGUUCGAAAGGAAAAGUGGUGCUUGAGGCCUGAUUUGGAUCAUUGUAGUCGAGGUAAGUGUUUGGUCUAACCUUAGCUUGAGGGAUUAGGAGUUGUGUCCUAUUUGCUACUUGUUUCUUGUUGAGUACGACGUAUAGGCAUGGUGACGAGUAUCUAUAUGUUAGUGUCGAGCAUGACCAUGGGCCUUAAAUUGAAUUAUGUUGUGUUAUUAAAUAAUACUACGGAUGCUUAAGUUGAUGAUUCUCUGUACUGAGCAAGGAUUAUGAUUAUUCUCGUGGAAAUUAGUUAUGACUGAGUAUUGGUGUUAGCUGAGAUAGUUAGAUGUUGGAACAAGUUUGGUUAUAGCUGUUUCUCCCUUGCCGGGAUGUAGUUUACUUAUACUGUCGAUUCCCUUGCCGGGAUAGUGUAGUUCUUGAUUGCUCCCUUGUCGGGACCCUUGUUAUGAUUGUUGUUGAUAUUAUAUGUGGAUCGGGUUGCAUGCCACAACAAUAAUAUAAUUGGAUCGGGUUGCACGCCGCAACAAUGAUAUAAUUGGAUCGAGUUGCACACCGCAAUAGUGAUAAAUGAUAUGGAUCGGGUUGCACACCGCAACAGUGUUGUUAUGUGAUAGGAUCGGGUUGCGCGCCGCAACAAUUGAUGAAAUAAAGUGUUUAUAAAUUGGUUACAAGUUCCUUAUUGCUUUGUUGUAGAUUCUAAGUUAUCCUUAUGCCUUUUCUUGAUUUACUGUUGAUAUUGACAUACCCCCGCAGCAUGUACCCCCUCUCAUCUUUACUUGCUGUUCCUGUUUUAUUUUCCGUUACAUAUUAUAUAACUGCAUAGGUUUAUUUGGUAGUAUGGUCCUAGCCUCGUCACUACUUCGCCGAGGUUAGGCUAGACACUUACCAGCACAUGAGAUUGGUUGUGCUGAUGCUACAUUCUGCACUAUGUGUAGAUCCCAGAGUAGCAUUUGGGCGGCUGUCUUCAGUCCAGCUAGAGAUCCCGAGGUAGUCCUGCAGGCGUUCGCAGGCCCGGCGUUCUCUUCUAUCUUAUUAUGUAUUUUGUUUUCAGUUGUUUCCGAGACAGAUUGUACUUUCCUUUCAGACAUUUGUUGUAGUAUUCAUAGACAAUCUGUGAUAUUGUGACGCCGGAUUCUGGGUAGAGACGUAUGUUGGCAUUGUCGUACUGGCUUUAGUUAUUUUAUUAGAU